AUGAAAAGCCUCUCGCUCCUGGUGCCACUGUCACGCUGCUCACCCCCAGGCCCUUCCAGGAGAGCCCUUUCCCAGAGGAGGGCUGACUUUGCUGCUCUCCCAGGCUCCAGCAAGCCCGGCAGGGACCUGCCACCACCACCAGCACCCCGAGCACCCCUCGGGGCACCCUGGCCACGGGCCCUUUUAGGGAGGAGGGGGGGAAAAAAGGGUGAGCACAGCGGGGCCACCCCCGGGGCUCCCCCUUCCCUGAGAAGCGGGGGCGGCUCUCCGAGCCCCCCUCCCGCGGCUUUUGCUCCCCCUUUUUCUUCCUCCUCCUCCUCCUCCUCCUCCUCCUGCUGCUGCUGCUGCUGCUGCUGCUCCUCCUGCCGCCGCUGCCCGGCUCCGCUCCGCCUCGCCAGCCCCGAGCGGGUGCCCCGGCCCUGCCGCACCUCCCCGGCCUCCGCAGCCCCGGCCCGGCGGGCGGUGAGUGCUGAGCCCCCCCUGCAGGCCCGGGGGGAGCCGGGGGGAUGCUCGGGGGCCUCGUCGUCGCCGGAGGGAAUCGGGGGGCCGGGUGGGAAACGGGGGCUGAAGGGGCGCCGGGACCUUCACGUCGCCCCCACUUUGUCCCCUCCUGUCCCCUUCCUCCGGGGGGUGCAGGCUCGGGGCUUCGCCCCCCGGGGGUCGGGGUCCGGCUUGGGGAAUGUCCUGGGUUGGGAGGCAUGUUUGGGGUGGUCCUCGUGUGUGUGUGUCCCUUCCUUGGGUGAUGGGGUCCUGCGGAGGGUAUCCCCCUCCCCGCCCCGAGGUGCUGGGGGGAGCCCUAAAGGCACCACCCGGAGUGCGGGGCUGUCCUUGGAGCAGCCCCUCGGGCGUUUUAGGGCUGAGCUGGGUGCACCCCACCCGGCUGGGCUCCGGGAGUCCUCCCAGGGUGCUGGUGGAGCGGCUCCUGACACCCCCCCCAGCCGUUGCCCCCUGCCCCAUUUGCAAAGCAUCAGGGCUUGGGGGGUUCGGGUGUCCCAAGAGCAGGACCUGGGGGCUGCAGCGCUUCCCUCAGCCACCCCUCAGCCACCGACCUCCCGGCUGGCAGAGCUGCCCCCCGUUAGGGCACACCGAGACCUCGGGGCUGGGGUCUGCACACCACAGCCGGGCCACCUCUGGGGCUCCUUGGUGGAGGUACCACCUCGGUGCCCCUGUAAAAGGAGCAUCCCCUGCCCUCCCAAAGCGCUCGGUUUCUUGGGGAAAAAAGCACGGCAUUACAGUGCAUUUAUACUGCAUGAAAAACCACUUUUAUAA
This 1269-nucleotide long non-coding RNA is filed under the name Anas platyrhynchos platyrhynchos (common mallard). RNAcentral's name for it is "lncRNA (ENSAPLG00000016565.1)". Lineage: Eukaryota; Metazoa; Chordata; Aves; Anseriformes; Anatidae. The record is from RNAcentral.